UGGGAACCUUCCCUAUGGUUCGGAAUAGCCCAGGGAAACUUGGGGUAAUACCGAAUAAGCCCUUCGGGGGAAAGAUUUAUCGCCAUUGGAUGGGCCCGCGUCGGAUUAGCUAGUUGGUGGGGUAACGGCCCACCAAGGCGACGAUCCGUAGCUGGUCUGAGAGGAUGAUUAGCCACACUGGGACUGAGACACGGCCCAGACUCCUACGGGAGGCAG
Molecule: ribosomal RNA, 216 nt
Filed under: uncultured bacterium
Lineage: Bacteria
Description: partial 16S ribosomal RNA
Rfam family: Bacterial small subunit ribosomal RNA
Source: RNAcentral